CCCUUAGAUGUUCUGGGCCGCACACGCGCUACACUGAAGGAGGCAGCGUGUACUCCUGGAUCGAAAGAUUUGGGUAACCCGCGAAUCUCCUUCGUGCUAGGGAUUGAGGUUUGCAAUUAUCCUUCAUGAACGAGGAAUUCCCAGUAAGUGCGAGUCAUUAUCUCGCGCUGACUACGUCCCUGCCCUUUGUACACACCGCCCGUCGCUACUACCGAUUGAAUGAUUUAGUGAGGACUUCGGACUGAGUCCAAUGCGGCUUUCGGGCUGCGUUGGUAUUUCGGAAAGAUGUCCAAACUGUAUCAUUUAGAGGAAGUAAAANUCGUANCA
This 327-nucleotide ribosomal RNA is filed under the name uncultured eukaryote. RNAcentral's name for it is "partial 18S ribosomal RNA". It matches the Rfam family "Eukaryotic small subunit ribosomal RNA", at positions 1470 to 1796 of the family's 1831-position model. The record is from RNAcentral.